CUCCACUUUUCAACUUUUAAGAGCAUAUUUCAGGACUCUCAAAACUUAUAUUAUAUCAUUUAUCUGAAGGUCACACUCUAAAAUACGAUAAGAAAUUUUAGUGCCCAUCAUGGGCCUAUAAAAUGUUUCCCCACCUUCAUCUACCAAUGGUCAUAACCUGAAGCCAAGCCCAACACUCCUACAAAAUGGAAUCCAACCCAGGGAUGACCCUCCAACAACAAAUGCAAGCACUUAUCUAGUAGAACGAACAAUGCAAACAUUACGAUGUCGAGUUUGAAAACCUAUGCUCCCAACGAUAGGUCGACCUUAGCGAACUCUAAGACACUCGACAAAAACUUGACCGACUUAGAAAAUGAGAAAUCACCUUCCCUACAUCGGCCUAAUUCCCAUAAGGAUGUCCCCCGUAAUUUCCGAAUAAAGCACAACCCGCUAGCCAAACAAGGUUUUCAUGAAAGUCAAAGCCUAUCUUCUCAACGUCGGGCUCGAAAGAAGUAUUGCCCACCAACUCGGCGACGUUCGCAUGGAACUCGAAACUGAUCUCCUUAAUGCCGAGCUUGAAGGGACCGGAGGAGAAGGUCAACCUGACACAAAAUGAGAGAAAUUCGGGGACAACCCUGCCACUCCGAACCCCAGACUUGGAAUCGGUGGAGUCCUAAGAUUCCACAAGACACCCUGGUGGGUGAGUAGACCGAGAAGGCCGUUAAGCUUCCCAAAAGCAUGAUCGGGACUUCCGAAUCAAGACUGACCAUGUGGAAAAUUUUCACCCUUUCACGACGAAAGUGGAUUAGGCACACAUCACUAGAGGAGCCGACUCGGCCACACAUCUAAAAGAAUUUUGGAUUUAGGUCAAUAUCCAUACAGAAGAUGAUAAUGCUUUUUGCAGGUUAUUUCUAACUACCCUAGAUGGAUUGACGUUAGAUUGGGACUAUAUGCUAUACCAUUGUACUCGAUGGAUUUAUUUGAAGCUUUGAGUAUCAUGCUUAGAACUCAGUCUGCAUAUGUAAGGUGAUGACCACCUCGUUGGUAGCCCAAAAAUGCACAAAGUAGGAGGAAAACGAAAUCCUUCAACAUUUAACGGAAAUAUUCACCAUGACAACGAAAAUAAUCCCAGACCUUACUUUAUCAAUGAUAUUGCAUUCGUUUAGGAAAGGGUCGAGGAUAGUCGGAUCAGCCUAAUAUGGUUCUCCUAAUCCUGAGGCCCAAGUUUGUCCAUGAUUGACAACCAACCACAAUGCAGUCGGUCAUUCGAAGCCAGAUCGUCCAACCUAACCCUAUCCAAGCAAAGAAUAACAUCCACACACCAUUCAUUUCUUAAAAUCUAAUGUUGAGUGGUACAAUGGCUACGUUAAGCAAUAUUUUUGCUUAUGUGGCAAGUUGAGCCAUACUUCUUCUAGUUAUUUGAGAGAAGCUCAUCUUUGAUUGUUUGAGACACGUUUUUUCACUUUUUGGAGAGCUUGGUGUUCUACUAGGACUUAUGGGAACCAUCCAUUCAUACUUCUUGUGUCUCGAUCUUCUUCCAUGUUUCAUUUUGUAAGCUUGAGUUCUCCAUGAUAAUGGAGAGCUAAACCCAUUUUUGUUAAGGGUAGAUGUAACCACUAAAUUCUCUCUUAUUUUGCAAAUGCCUUGAAUAUAUUAUGAUAAUAUUCUUGUUUUUG
This 1655-nucleotide long non-coding RNA is filed under the name Vigna radiata. Its description in RNAcentral is "long non-coding RNA (VRAD_LNC001048)". The record is from RNAcentral. Lineage: Eukaryota; Viridiplantae; Streptophyta; Magnoliopsida; Fabales; Fabaceae.